RNAcentral lists this long non-coding RNA (416 nucleotides) under Cucumis sativus (cucumber). Its description in RNAcentral is "long non-coding RNA (CSAT_LNC000553)". The record is from RNAcentral. Lineage: Eukaryota; Viridiplantae; Streptophyta; Magnoliopsida; Cucurbitales; Cucurbitaceae.
AUCAUCUCAUUAGGAGGAGUUGGCUUUGACUAUCAUCUUGUAUUCCCUCUUUUCUCACAUAGGUUUAACCAAGACAUGUAGAAAAUAUAAUCUUAAGGUGAGUUGUAGAUGCAAAAAUCGUAGUACCAUUCUCAAUUUAGGUGUUGGCUUUACAAUUAAGAAUUUGUUUACUAUUUGUCUUUCGAUCUCUUUUCUUAAUACUUUUUUACUUACGUUUUUAUACCUUAUUCUCCAUGAUAACACAAGGAAUACAAAAGAUGGAACGACAUAUUGUGUUGUGUGACUAUGAGGUCUUUGAUGCAUUUCAAGCAAAUUCUAGAGGCUGCAACUGAUGGGCACUUCUCAGAUAUGAAGAGCGAAGCAUAGAGAAGCAAGAACCUUUAUUGUUCUUUUUUUAAAAUUUAUGAUACCCUAUG